This 442-nucleotide transfer RNA is filed under the name Pseudomonas syringae pv. actinidiae. Its description in RNAcentral is "partial 16S-23S ribosomal RNA intergenic spacer". The stretch from base 18 to 91 matches the Rfam family "tRNA". The record is from RNAcentral. Lineage: Bacteria; Pseudomonadati; Pseudomonadota; Gammaproteobacteria; Pseudomonadales; Pseudomonadaceae.
UUUGCACACCCGAUUUUGGGUCUGUAGCUCAGUUGGUUAGAGCGCACCCCUGAUAAGGGUGAGGUCGGCAGUUCGAAUCUGCCCAGACCCACCAGUUACCUGGUGAAGUUGGUCAGAGCGCGUACGACACCCGGAUACGGGGCCAUAGCUCAGCUGGGAGAGCGCCUGCCUUGCACGCAGGAGGUCAGCGGUUCGAUCCCGCUUGGCUCCACCACUUACUGCUUCUGUUUGAAAGCUUAGAAAUGAGCAUUCCAUCCUGAUUGAAGGGUGCGUGAAUGUUGAUUUCUAGUCUUUGAUUAGAUCGUUCUUUAAAAAUUUGGGUAUGUGAUAGAAAGAAAUAUAGACCGGGCACCUCUUUCACUGGUGCGUGUCCGGGCUAAGGUAAAGUUUGUGAAAUGCAAACUUUCGGCGAAUGUCGUCUUCACAGUAUAACCAGAUUGCU